GACGAGCCACCCAAACGUUAUUCGGAAUUACUGGGCUUAAAGGGUGCGUAGGCGGUGCAGCAAGUCGGGAGUGAAAUACCUCAGCUUAACUGAGGAACUGCUUUCGAUACUGCUGUGCUUGAGUAAGACAGAGGUAAGCGGAACUUAGGGUGGAGCGGUGAAAUGCGUUGAUAUCCUAAGGAACACCGGUGGCGAAGGCGGCUUCCUGGACCGACACUGACGCUGAGGCGCGAAAGCUAGGGGAGCAAACGGG
Molecule: ribosomal RNA, 253 nt
Filed under: uncultured bacterium
Lineage: Bacteria
Description: partial 16S ribosomal RNA
Rfam family: Bacterial small subunit ribosomal RNA
Source: RNAcentral